CAGUCGCCACGGUAACACAGAGGGUGCGAGCGUUAAUCGGAAUUACUGGGCGUAAAGCGCGCGUAGACGGUUUUGUAAGUCAGAUGUGAAAUCCCUGGGCUCAACCUGGGAACUGCAUUUGAGACUGCAUGGCUAGAGUAUCGAAGAGGGAAGUGGAAUUUCCGGUGUAGCAGUGAAAUGCGUAGAGAUCGGAAGGAACAUCUGUGGCGAAGGCGACUAUCUGGGCCAACACUGACACUGAGACACGAAAGCGUAGGGAGCAAACAGGAUUAGAUACCCCCGUAGUCCCUGUCUCUUAUAA
This 301-nucleotide ribosomal RNA is filed under the name uncultured bacterium. Its description in RNAcentral is "partial 16S ribosomal RNA". It matches the Rfam family "Bacterial small subunit ribosomal RNA", at positions 509 to 809 of the family's 1533-position model. The record is from RNAcentral.